GUCGAUGCUUUCGGCCGCGAGUACUUCGACUGCGGGUGGGCUUGCGGCCUGCCCGCCGACCACUACCUGCCGGGCUUCAUCGAGAAGCACAUAGGCCGACAUGUGAGGGCGGAUGAGCGGGCAGCAGCAGCUGCGGCGGCAGCGGCAGAUCAGGCAGCGGUCGAGGCACCAGCUCGCCGCCGGCGCAGAGGCGGACGACGCCGCGCCAGAGGCGGCCGCUAGUUACGUAUGGAUCGUAGAAGCAGGGCCGCCACUGAGCCCCAGGAUUAAUCCAAGUGCACAUAAAGAACAUCGUGCGAAGUAGAUUCAUCAAAUUCUUUGUUGUCAUACAAACGUGUCUUGUUUCUGCUACGUUUGUCAUACAACUUGUCUUGGGAAACUGGCUUGUUCCAGCUUUGACAAAUCGAAAACAGCUGCUAUCUUGCUGUUACAA
This is a long non-coding RNA of Triticum aestivum (bread wheat), 433 nucleotides long. RefSeq lists it as uncharacterized. The transcript has 2 exons. The record is from RefSeq and is a predicted model, not a curated record. Lineage: Eukaryota; Viridiplantae; Streptophyta; Magnoliopsida; Poales; Poaceae.